CCUUUGUCCCAGCCGCGUUGCUCAGUGGAUAGAGCACCAUAAGGAGACGCCUCAGACGGGUGGCUCCAAUGGAAUCCACUCUCUUACAGCUUCGGAACAGUGAGAGAAUAACUGUCUGGAUGAAGCCGCCGGAUGGAUCCUCCAGACACGGCCCCGUGUGUCCGCAGGGGCGCUUGCCUGUCACCGCCACCUGUCCUCCUGUCUGCGUGUCCCAGGUGCUUUCUGGGGGGGCCUUUCCCAGGCCCCUCUGCCUCUGGCGUCCUUGAUCGCACGUGCCACCACUGUCCACGUGACCCAUGUGCGCUUCCCAUCUCCUCCUGGAAUGUGAGCGUCAUGAGCACGGGGACCCUGA
Molecule: long non-coding RNA, 352 nt
Organism: Myotis daubentonii (Daubenton's bat)
Lineage: Eukaryota; Metazoa; Chordata; Mammalia; Chiroptera; Vespertilionidae
Source: RefSeq, a predicted model, not a curated record